Molecule: microRNA precursor, 215 nt
Filed under: Trypanosoma vivax Y486
Lineage: Eukaryota; Euglenozoa; Kinetoplastea; Trypanosomatida; Trypanosomatidae
Source: RNAcentral
AAAAGAAAAAGAAAAAAGGAAAAGGAAAAGGAAAAAUAGAAAAAUAUCAUCCAGUUACUCCUAGUGUUGUACCUUGGCUGCUUUUCAAUGAUGUGCGCGCACGCCAAAAACACCGGACGCCCUCGGCUGGCGAGCGUGUUCAUGGUAGAUACUGCAAGGCAAUCGCCUCCUUGAUUGUUUUUUUCUUUUUGAUUUUUUUUUUUUUUUUUUUUUUU